UAUUCUGGUGUCCAAGGCGUAGAGGAACCACACCAAUCCAUCCCGAACUUGGUGGUUAAACUCUACUGCGGUGACAAUACUGUAGGGGGAGCCCUGCGGAAAAAUAGCUCAACGCCAGAAU
This 121-nucleotide ribosomal RNA is filed under the name Risleya atropurpurea. Lineage: Eukaryota; Viridiplantae; Streptophyta; Magnoliopsida; Asparagales; Orchidaceae. The record is from RNAcentral.